RNAcentral lists this ribosomal RNA (254 nucleotides) under uncultured bacterium. Its description in RNAcentral is "partial 16S ribosomal RNA". It matches the Rfam family "Bacterial small subunit ribosomal RNA", at positions 524 to 776 of the family's 1533-position model. The record is from RNAcentral.
UACGUAGGGUGCGAGCGUUUGUCCGGAAUUAUUGGGCGUAAAGGGCUCGUAGGCGGUCUGUCGCGUCGGGAGUGAAAACUCAGGGCUUAACCCUGAGCCUGCUUCCGAUACGGGCAGACUAGAGGUAUGCAGGGGAGACUGGAAUUCCUGGUGUAGCGGUGGAAUGCGCAGAUAUCAGGAGGAACACCGGUGGCGAAGGCGGGUCUCUGGGCAGUAACUGACGCUGAGGAGCGAAAGCGUGGGGAGCGAACAGG